Molecule: ribosomal RNA, 253 nt
Filed under: uncultured bacterium
Lineage: Bacteria
Description: partial 16S ribosomal RNA
Rfam family: Bacterial small subunit ribosomal RNA
Source: RNAcentral
UACGUAGGUGACCAGCGUUGUCCGGAUUUACUGGGCGUAAAGAGCGCGCAGGCGGUCGUUCAAGUCGAGUGUGAAAGCCCCCGGCUCAACUGGGGAGGGUCAUUCGAUACUGAUCGACUCGAAGGCAGGAGAGGGAAGCGGAAUUCCCGGUGUAGUGGUGAAAUGCGUAGAUAUCGGGAGGAACACCGGUGGCGAAGGCGGGACUCUGGGCCGAUACUGACGCUGAGGAGCGAAAGCGUGGGGAGCAAACAGG